GGGGAUGAUCAGGUCUCGACGAAUUGCAUCGUGCAACAAGUUGCGUGUCGAGCCAAUCUGACUUGGGCUCGUAAAUCACGUCAGAAAACCUGUAACUGCGAACGACUAUUCGUACGCGAUGGCGGCAUAAACCCGCUAUCUGUCUUCUAUACAUGCCCUGCUCACUGGCACAAUAGAAGGCAUCGACUUUUGUGAGCGCCCUGUAUGGGAUACCGGCUGAAUGCCAUAUAGGAUAUCAACCAGCCUUUGCCAACACCCGGUUUGGGUCACAUGCCAAGGGUUCGGCGAGACAUAAGAUGUGACCUACACAUGUAGACGCUUGUGUGUUCAUCCUUUCGGACCCGGGUUCAAUUCCCGGCAUCUCCACCU
RNAcentral lists this transfer-messenger RNA (369 nucleotides) under Bacteroidota bacterium. Its description in RNAcentral is "Bacteroidetes bacterium transfer-messenger RNA". It matches the Rfam family "transfer-messenger RNA". From Rfam's summary of the family: Bacterial tmRNA, also known as 10Sa RNA or SsrA, is named for its dual tRNA and mRNA-like properties. The record is from RNAcentral. Lineage: Bacteria; Pseudomonadati; Bacteroidota.